GGAGCCAUCUGAAGUCCUGAGGCAGAUGCUGGAGGAACUGGAGAGAGGACACGAGACGGAACGAGAGGCUGUGCAGAAGGAGGCGUUUCCGGAAGGAAGCGGUGGCUCGCUGCCAGUCUCUGCCAAAGGAACGGAGGCGAUGCAAGCCACCGGCACGCCAGCGCUGUCAAAGCCCGGAGAAGACCACCACGGCGGCGUAUAUGAAUUUUUUCGAACGG
Long non-coding RNA from Gymnogyps californianus (California condor), 218 nucleotides. RefSeq lists it as uncharacterized. Lineage: Eukaryota; Metazoa; Chordata; Aves; Accipitriformes; Cathartidae. The transcript is spliced from 3 exons. The record is from RefSeq and is a predicted model, not a curated record.